GCAUAGGUGCCAGAUGAUAUGGGUUGGUUUUAAGCGUCAAAUAUGGGGUUUCCUCUCUAUGUG
Molecule: transfer RNA, 63 nt
Filed under: Echinochasmus japonicus
Lineage: Eukaryota; Metazoa; Platyhelminthes; Trematoda; Plagiorchiida; Echinochasmidae
Description: tRNA-Leu
Source: RNAcentral